RNAcentral lists this ribosomal RNA (457 nucleotides) under uncultured bacterium. Its description in RNAcentral is "bacterial SSU rRNA". It matches the Rfam family "Bacterial small subunit ribosomal RNA", at positions 1 to 507 of the family's 1533-position model. The record is from RNAcentral.
AGUAGUUUGAUCAGUGGCUACGAGGACACGCUGGCGGUGUGCUUCACACAUGCAAGUCGAACGAGGUAGCAAUACCUAGUGGCGGACGGGUGAGUAACGCGUGGGAAUCUGCCUUUAGAUGGGGGAUAACGGGUCGAAAGACUCGCUAAUACCGCAUAUGACGAAAGUUGAAAGGAGUAAUCCGUCUAAAGAUGAGCCCGCGUCCGAUUAGCUAGUUGGUAGAGUAAAAGCCUACCAAGGCGACGAUCGGUAGCUGGUCUGAGAGGAUGAUCAGCCACAAUGGGACUGAGACACGGCCCAUACUCCUACGGGAGGCAGCAGUGGGAAUUUUACGCAAUGGGCGAAAGCCUGACGUAGCGACACCGCGUGAGCGAAGAAGCCCCUUGGGGUGUAAAGCUCUGUCAGCUGGAACGAAAAAAUGACGGUACCAGCAGAGGAAGCAUCGGCUAACUACGUG